CCUACGGGAGGCAGCAGUGGGGAAUAUUGCUCAAUGGGCGGAACCCUGAUGCAGCGACGCCGCGUGGGUGAAGGAGUAUUUCGGUAUGUAAAGCCCUAUCAGCAGGGAAGAACAAUGACGGUCCCUGACGAAGAAGCACCGGCUAAAUACGUGCCAGCAGCCGCGGUAAUACGUAUGGUGCAAGCGUUAGCCGGAUUUACUGGGUGUAAAGGGAUCGCAGGUGGCGCGAUAAGGCUGGUGUGAAAGCCCGCGGCUCAUCCGCGGGACUGCAUUGGAAACUGGCGCGCUGGAGUGCCGGAGGGGUAGGCGGAAUUCCUGGUGUAGCGGUGAAAUGCGUAGAUAUUAGGAGGAACACCAGUGGCGAAGGCGGCCUACUGGACUGUAACUGACGCUGAGGCUCGAAAGCGUGGGGAGCAAACAGGAUUAGAUACCCCAGUAGUC
RNAcentral lists this ribosomal RNA (441 nucleotides) under uncultured bacterium. RNAcentral describes it as "partial 16S ribosomal RNA". It matches the Rfam family "Bacterial small subunit ribosomal RNA", at positions 338 to 795 of the family's 1533-position model. The record is from RNAcentral.